RNAcentral lists this transfer RNA (68 nucleotides) under Otolemur crassicaudatus (thick-tailed bush baby). Its description in RNAcentral is "tRNA-His". It matches the Rfam family "tRNA". From Rfam's summary of the family: Transfer RNA (tRNA) molecules are approximately 80 nucleotides in length. Their secondary structure includes four short double-helical elements and three loops (D, anti-codon, and T loops). The record is from RNAcentral. Lineage: Eukaryota; Metazoa; Chordata; Mammalia; Primates; Galagidae.
GUAAAUAUAGUUUAACAAAAACACUAGAUUGUGAAUCUAAUAACAGAAGAUAAACCUUCUUAUUUACC